RNAcentral lists this ribosomal RNA (252 nucleotides) under uncultured bacterium. RNAcentral's name for it is "partial 16S ribosomal RNA". It matches the Rfam family "Bacterial small subunit ribosomal RNA", at positions 525 to 776 of the family's 1533-position model. The record is from RNAcentral.
ACGGAGGGUGCGAGCGUUAAUCGGAAUUACUGGGCGUAAAGCGCGCGUAGGCGGUUAGUUAAGUCGGAUGUGAAAGCCCUGGGCUCAACCUGGGAACUGCAUUCGAUACUGGCCAACUAGAGUGCAAGAGAGGGAGGUAGAAUUCCACGUGUAGCGGUGAAAUGCGUAGAUAUGUGGAGGAAUACCGGUGGCGAAGGCGGCCUCCUGGCUUGACACUGACGCUGAGGUGCGAAAGCGUGGGGAGCAAACAGG